Molecule: ribosomal RNA, 858 nt
Filed under: uncultured bacterium
Lineage: Bacteria
Description: bacterial SSU rRNA
Rfam family: Bacterial small subunit ribosomal RNA
Source: RNAcentral
CGGAGAGUUUGAUCCUGGCUCAGGACGAACGCUGGCGGCAUGCCUAAUACAUGCAAGUCGAACGAACUUUCCCGAUGAUUGAAGCUUGCUUCAUGAAUCGGAUCUAAGUGAGUGGCGGACGGGUGAGUAACACGUGGGUAACCUGCCCAAAAGUGGGGGAUAACAUUUGGAAACAAGUGCUAAUACCGCAUAACAACUACUUUCACAUGAUCGUAGUUUAAAAGAUGGUUCUGCUAUCACUAAGAGAUGGUCCCGCGGUGCAUUAGUUAGUUGGUGAGGUAAUGGCUCACCAAGACGAUGAUGCAUAGCCGAGUUGAGAGACUGAUCGGCCACAAUGGGACUGAGACACGGCCCAUACUCCUACGGGAGGCAGCAGUAGGGAAUCUUCCACAAUGGGCGAAAGCCUGAUGGAGCAACGCCGCGUGUGUGAUGAAGGGUUUCGGCUCGUAAAACACUGUUGUAAGAGAAGAAUGACAUUGAGAGUAACUGUUCAAUGUGUGACGGUAUCUUACCAGAAAGGAACGGCUAAAUACGUGCCAGCAGCCGCGGUAAUACGUAUGUUCCAAGCGUUAUCCGGAUUUAUUGGGCGUAAAGCGAGCGCAGACGGUUAUUUAAGUCUGAAGUGAAAGCCCUCAGCUCAACUGAGGAAUUGCUUUGGAAACUGGAUGACUUGAGUGCAGUAGAGGAAAGUGGAACUCCAUGUGUAGCGGUGAAAUGCGUAGAUAUAUGGAAGAACACCAGUGGCGAAGGCGGCUUUCUGGACUGUAACUGACGUUGAGGCUCGAAAGUGUGGGUAGCAAACAGGAUUAGAUACCCUGGUAGUCCACACCGUAAACGAUGAGUGCUAGGUGUUUGAGG